AGUCUUUGCAGUAAUGCAAGGCAUACGGCUCAGUAACACGUAGUCAACUUACCCUAUGGACGAGGAUAAUCUCGGGAAACUGAGCAUAAUACUCGAUAGAUCAUAAUGCCUGGAAUGGUUUAUGGUUGAAAUGAUUCGUCGCCAUAGGAUGGGACUGCGGCCUAUCAGCUUGUUGGUGAGGUAAUGGCCCACCAAGGCGAUUACAGGUACGGGAUCUGAGAGGAGAAGCCCGGAGAUGGGUACUGAGACAAGGACCCAGGCCCUAUGGGGCGCAGCAGGCGAGAAAACUUUGCAGUGUGCGAAAGCACGACAAGGUUAAUCCGAGUGAUUUCUGCUAAAGAAAUCUUUUGCAAGUCAUAAAACCACUAGUGAAUAAGGGGUGGGCAAGUUCUGGUGUCAGCCGCCGCGGUAAAACCAGCACCUCAAGUGGUCAGGAGGAUUAUUGGGCCUAAAGCAUCCGUAGCCGGCUCCGUAAGUUUUCGGUUAAAUCCAUGUGCUCAACGCAUGGGCUGCCGAAAAUACUGCAUAGCUAGGGAGUGGGAGAGGUAGACGGUACUCGGUAGGAAGGGGUAAAAUCCUUUGAUCUAUCGAUGACCACCUGUGGCGAAGGCGGUCUACCAGAACACGUUCGACGGUGAGGGAUGAAAGCUGGGGGAGCAAACCGGAUUAGAUACCCGGGUAGUCCCAGCUGUAAACGAUGCAGACUCGAUGAUGCAUUGGCAUAUAGCCAGUGCAGUGUCGCAGGGAAGCCGUUAAGUCUGCCGCCUGGGA
Molecule: ribosomal RNA, 771 nt
Filed under: uncultured archaeon
Lineage: Archaea
Description: bacterial SSU rRNA
Rfam family: Archaeal small subunit ribosomal RNA
Source: RNAcentral